GACGAACGCUGGCGGCGUGCUUAACACAUGCCAGUCGAACGGAAAGGCCCUGCUUUUGUGGGGUGCUCGAGUGGCGAACGGGUGAGUAACACGUGAGUAACCUGCCCUUGACUUUGGGAUAACUUCAGGAAACUGGGGCUAAUACCGGAUAGGAGCUCCUGCUGCAUGGUGGGGGUUGGAAAGUUUCGGCGGUUGGGGAUGGACUCGCGGCUUAUCAGCUUGUUGGUGGGGUAGUGGCUUACCAAGGCUUUGACGGGUAGCCGGCCUGAGAGGGUGACCGGCCACAUUGGGACUGAGAUACGGCCCAGACUCCUACGGGAGGCAGCAGUGGGGAAUAUUGCACAAUGGGCGGAAGCCUGAUGCAGCAACGCCGCGUGCGGGAUGACGGCCUUCGGGUGGUAAACCGCUUUCGCCUGUGACGAAGCGUGAGUGACGGUAAUGGGUAAAGAAGCACCGGCUAACUACGUG
RNAcentral lists this ribosomal RNA (468 nucleotides) under uncultured bacterium. RNAcentral's name for it is "partial 16S ribosomal RNA". It matches the Rfam family "Bacterial small subunit ribosomal RNA", at positions 28 to 507 of the family's 1533-position model. The record is from RNAcentral.